Molecule: ribosomal RNA, 236 nt
Filed under: uncultured bacterium
Lineage: Bacteria
Description: partial 16S ribosomal RNA
Rfam family: Bacterial small subunit ribosomal RNA
Source: RNAcentral
UGAGCAAUCUGCCUCUGUGAGGGGGAUAACGUCUGGAAACGGACGCUAAUACCGCAUAACAUAUAGUGGCCGCAUGGUCGGUAUAUCAAAGAUUUAUCGCACAGAGAUGAGCUCGCGGCUGAUUAGCUAGUUGGCGGGGUAACGGCCCACCAAGGCGACGAUCAGUAGCCGGACUGAGAGGUUGAACGGCCACAUUGGGACUGAGACACGGCCCAGACUCCUACGGAAGGCAGCAG